UGGUGGAGUGAUUUGUCUGGUUAAUUCCGUUAACGAACGAGACCUCGACCUGCUAAAUAGCCCGGCUCACCCUCCGGGGUGGGUGCGCGGCUUCUUAGAGGGACUAUCGGUGCGUAGCCGAUGGAAGUUCGAGGCAAUAACA
This 142-nucleotide ribosomal RNA is filed under the name uncultured eukaryote. RNAcentral's name for it is "partial 18S ribosomal RNA". It matches the Rfam family "Eukaryotic small subunit ribosomal RNA", at positions 1299 to 1458 of the family's 1831-position model. The record is from RNAcentral.